UUUACCUAAAUGGAGGUUUAAGACCAUCUUGGUUAUCAAAGAAAACCUUGCACUGAAGCAGUGUUUUCUUUGGAGAGCAGUGAUCUUUGUGAUCAAAUCAAAGAUAUUUAAAGUUGAAUUGAUUCGUUUAAUAAAUAUUUGCUAAGCACAAACUAUGUGGUGGAUAACUGCUAGAUUCUGGAGAUGCACAGUGAAUUAGAUAGCCACAGACCCUGCGUCAGGCAAAUAAAGCAGCAAUCAGAGUGUGAUAUGGUAAGGACAGUGAGGGAGGAAGCCCUGGGGGCUAUGGGAGCAUGCAGGGCACAUAAGGAAAGUUUCUUGGAAGAAGUGACAUUUCAGCUAACCUGUAGGAUGAGGUAACCAAAUGGACAGGGAGCAGGAAAGCAUGCAGGUCGAGGAAGGAGCAUGUGUACAGGGCGAGCUCGGCUGGGGGGCUGGCAGGCUGGGGGCUUGGAAACAGUGGGCAGGGAGGAGCUAGCUCAGGAAGAAUUGCUAAAUCUUAUUCAGGAGCAGGGACUUUGUCCUAAAGAAAGAGGGAGAGUAGUUGAAGGAUUGAAAGCAGCAUUUUGACAGGCUCAGAAUGAAGUUUUAGAAGACUGUAGCGCAGGAGUGGAUUGACAGGGGCAAGGCAAGAUACAGAGACUGAUGAAGAGGCUGUGGGUGUUGUCCAGGCGAGAGAGAACCGUGACCCAGCUCAGGGCUGAGCAGGGCAGCUGCAAUGAAGGGGAUGGAUUUGAGAGAAAUUGAGGAGGCGUGAGGGAGAGAACUUGGAAUUCUGCUCAGUGAAGUCCAGGAGGGAGACUUCAGCUGAGCCAACCUCACAAUUCCAAACUGUAGUAACUUGGAAAUAUAUUGUGAUUUGUUGUUGUUACAUUGGCAGAAAAAGUGAUAUGUCCCUCUGUUUUCUAUUUGAUAAGAUCUUUUAGUGUAAAUUUGAGAUCUAAAGUAUUUGCCUAAUAUUCUAUGACAGACUUUCCACUUAAUAAUCUUGGGAACCAUCUUAGAUGUCACUGGGUAAUACAUAGUGUUCUGAUAUUUUGAUGGAACCACAAAAAGAUCUAAUGGGUUUUCAGUGAGUGAUAUUGACGGGGUUGGGCGUUGUUACCCUGUUAUUCCACCUUAAGCAUGUGAGGUCAGCAGAACUUUUGGUGGGGGCCGGGGCUGGGUCAUCCCCCUGGGUUUGUUCUGCAUGAGUGCUUCUGUAGCACUCAUGCAUUAAUUCACUCAGCCAGCACAUCCUCUCUGAACUCUCACCAGGUGUCAGCUCUAAGCUGGGCAGGGACGAGACGGGCCAGGUCUGUCUCUCAUGAAACUUAUGUUCUAGUUUGCAAGCAGCAAAUACAAACAAUGACAGUAAAGCAAAACAUUUUUUCUCGAUGGAUACCCAUGGAAAGAGCCCUGUGCUGGUGGUAAAGAAACCCAGUUCCAGUUCUGGCUUUGUUGUUUACCAGAUCUAUGGACUGGGGCACAUAAUUUGCCUUUUCCUGGCCUCCUCCCGUUCCUUGGCUAUAAAAUGAAGCUCAACCUCUCCUACAGGUGCCUGGCAUAUAGAAUAUACUUGAUACAUGGUUGCUAAACAAAUCAAUGUCUGCUUUGGCCACUUUACAGGCCCUGGUGAGGAUCAAAAGAGUCAUGUUUGUGACAGCCUCCCAUAGAAAGCGAAGCGCUACCUAGAUGUAAGUUGUAUUGAUAAGUAUGCUGUCCUUUAUAAAUUACUGUCAUCCUCCAUUGUGCAUAAAUGUAGUGAUGUGAAUUUCAGUAACUGGAGAAUGGCUCCUGUCUCCUCUUUUAUUUUUAUUUUAAAAAUUACAUUAGAAAUGUCCUUCCUCUAGAAUUUGUAGCAGCAUUUAUUUAACAUUUCUCAAGGGAAACUUUAAAUGGCAAAGAAUGAGGCCAGAAGCAAAAUGAAAUGGUGUCAGGUCUCGUAGUGACAGACUCAUCUCCGGAAGCAAAAACUACACAGUAGAUGCUUCUGUUUGAUGAGUUACUUCUGACGCUUGUGAUGUUGAACGUUUUUUGAAUAGCGCCAUCCAACCAGCUUUGAUGACUUUUGAGAGUACAAAUGAAACCUAGGGGACAAGUCUGUGCAGCCCUGUGGGUAAGAGGCAGGGCUGCAGGUGAGUGGGUGGGUCUGGCUCUAAUGGCUGCCUCCCCUUUGGGACCUCCAGCGAGCUGCCAUGUCUCCGAGCCUCAGCCUCUACAUCUGGAACAGGGAGGUAACGUUCCUAACUUUCUUAAUACAUCUUAAAUGGCUAAUCCAUGUGAGAUGCUUCUAAGGUAAGCUCCCAGGGUGUGGUAGUUAGAAUGAAUAGCUGAGCUUCAUUACUUACACCUGGAAGGGUCCUAACAGCAUCCCUUUGGCCUGAGAGGUAGAGGACCCAAAAUCUGCUGUUUCUCAUGCUUGUUUUCUGUUGUACAACCUUCUUUACUGCCCUCCCUGCCGUCUGACAUCCCUUCUGUGGCUGCUGCCCAUGCGUACCAGCAGGUUCUUAGUCAAGAACAAUAGAAAACCAGCUCUGGAUAUUUUAAGCAAAAAACCAUAUUUACUGGAAGCUUCUUCAUGAGCUCACAGGCUCCCUGGAAAGGCAGGAGGACAGACCUCUCAGAGGAGAGGUGAGAACAGGGCAGGUUGAGCAGCCAGAUCCAUGACCAAAGUUAUGUCCAGAACCAUCCUGGAGAGGAUAUUGACACUCAGGCACUGGAUGUUGAUGCCAUCUGGCACCUCUACCUCUGCUGCCCCUGAGAAGCAGUUGUUGCUGUUGCCACCACUGCCAGGAAAGGAUUCUCCCCAUCCCUGUUCUUUUCCAUGUAAACUUUUAAUGAAGUACAAUAUGCAUAGAGAAAAGUGGACAAAUAAGUGUACAAUUCGGGGAAUGUUCACCAAAUGAACACACUGAAUAACCACUACCCCUGCUGAAGAGAUAAAACAUGACUAGACCCCCAGAACCCUCCCCCGUGUCUCCUUCCAGUCACUGUCCCCCCAAGUGUAACCACUGUCUUUGACUUCUCACCCCAGAGCUUACUUUUGCCUUUUAUUGUACUUUCUAUAAGUAGGAUCACACAAUAUGUUCUCUUUGUGUCUGGCUUCUUCUGCUCAACAUUGUAUUUGCGAGGUUCUUCCAGAUUGUUAUGUGUAAUUCUGAUGCAUUUAUUCUCAUUGCUGUAUAAUACUCUACCAUUUGGAUAAACCAUCAGAUGGAUAAACCACCAUUUGUGUAUCCAUUCUAGUGAGGGUGGACAUGGUGUUUUCAGUUUUUGGCUAUUGGGAAGAGUGAUGCAGACAUUCCCUACAUGUCUUUGGUAGCCACAUGUAUGCAUCCCUAAUGGGGAAGUCCAUAGGAGUGGAAUUGCGGGAUCAUGGGGUGUGUGUAUGUUUACUGAUAACUGCUGAGGUUGAGCACUUUUUCGUAUGUUCAUUAGCUAUUUGGAUAUCUUGUUUUUUGAAGUGACAUAAGUUUUGCCCAUUUUUAGAUUGGAUUGUUGGCCUCUUUAUUACUCAUUUUAGGAGUUCUUUAUAUUUUCUUGUUACAAGUUCUUUGCUGAAUAUAUUUAUUGUGAAUGUCUCUCCCACUUGGUGGCUUAUAUUUUCUGAGCCUACUUUUUGCCUCUCUAGAUUUAAAUUUAAAAACCUCUGCAAAUGCGUGGGAUUGGCCUGCGUGUGCCCUGGUGCCAGGGAUCCCAAACAGCAAACAUCAAACCUUGUUUGCAGUCACAGGUAUCCGUUCUGAGAUGAUACAACUCCUGGGGAGGUGCUUUGGCCGGGACUUAGCUGCACACACCAGAAAUGACGCUGGCUAGUGUUAGCUGAAAUGCUGUGCUGCCAAGGGUCAGGUAGCCUCCUACUCCCUGGGAGGGCUGAACUAGCGGACUGGAAUCUGAGGGAAUAGUCCAGAUCCCAGACUCGCACUGCCUCUGCUCUGAAAGGGCCAACUGCUGACGCUGCUGCAGGGAGCCACAGAAUGGGAAGCUGAUGGCUGCAAAAGCUCGCGCCCUCUGCCACAGUUCCUGCCGCCACAAUGGAUACCUUUUCUCCUGCUCACUUCCACAUUUAAGUCCUGUGUGAAUGCAUGUCAUUGGGGAAACCUGCAUCCUUGGAAUCUUUGCUGCAGGUCAUUUUUGGGUCUCCAGCCUCUCUGGUAUAGGUAGAGGGGAGAGCUCCAAGCAGCAAUGGGCAGCUCUGGGGCAGGGCUGCUUCAGUAACUAGAGGAACUGAAGAGCCGUGUGGGUGCUGUGGUGGCCGAGUAUUCUAGGUGGGAACUGUGUGGAGGGUUGAAGUGCAGUCUCAUGAUUGGCAUGUGGGAAUAAACCAGCCCAGCUGUGUGCGAGGUUCCAGAAGGUCAUUCCGGCACUCAUCUGUUCAGCCAUUGUGGUUAGUGUUCUAGAGCUGCGCUGAUAAAGCAGUAUGAACUGGAUGGCUUAAAACCACAGAAAUUGUCUCACAGUUCUGGAGGCCAGAAGUCCCAAAUCAAGGUUUCAGCAGGGCUGUUCUCUCUCUGAAGGCUUUAGGGGAGAAUCUGUUCCAGGCCUGCAUAGCUGCUGAGGUUUGCUGGUAAUCCUUGGCAUUCCUUGGCUUGUAGAUGCAUCACUCCCAUCUCUGCCUCUGUGACUCUCUUCCUCUUCUUAUAAGGACACCAGUCAUAUUGGAUUAGGGCCCACCCUAAUGAUUUCAUGUUUACAUGAUUAUAUCUUUAAAGACCCUAUUUCCAGAUAAGGUCGCAUUCACAGGCACUGGGAGUUAGGACUUCAUCGUAUCUUCCUAGAGGACACAGUCUAAUUCAUAAUACCCGUCAUCAAUGCAGGCCAUGGCUGGACCCUCUCCUUUGGCUGCUCUGGAUCCCUGGGCUUUCCCAGAGCCACACGUCCCCACACAACUGCUCUCGGUUGGCCUGGCCCUCUUCCUAGUGUUUGCCUAGGCAGAGUCCCCUCAUUGUUUGAGACUGUACUUCACUGUACCUCCUUGAUCCCUCUAGGACAGAAAGGACCAUUCUGUCUCCUGAGCUCCCACCAUUGGCAGCUUAUCCUUCCAUUUGGAGUUUGUUUUUGAAGCCAACUUUUUAUUGACAGCUGAUAUGUAUGUAACAUACAACAGACUAUACAUAUGUAACAUACAUACAGAAAAGUAGGUAAACUGUAAAAGUGUAACUCAAUGAAUUUUCAUGAAGCGAACAUCCCCUUUAUUCUGAAUUUAUUUCCCUCUGCUUAUUGAAUAGUAGCUAGCAAUUUACAGGCCUCUUUCACAAAUUGGAAUGUUCUUUGAGGCCAGAAAAUGUGUCUUAUUUAUCUUUAUAUUUACCCCCUCUCCAGUUUCUAGCACAAUUCCUUUAUAUAGCAGCCCACAGGAAGUACUUGCUAAAUUAGAAUUUAGAAGAUUGGAGGUGAAUUUACCAAAUGAAUCACAGUCAGCUUGAGCUAGUAUUGAGUGAAAGUCACACACAAGGCUAAGGACUUUGCUCCAGAUUAGUAGCUUUUGUCUUUCUUUGUGUCUGGAUUCAAAUUGCUGCCUGUCAAUUUUUUUCUUGCCUAUGGCCAUUUUUUGUGAAGGUCCUCUAGAAAGCAUAGCCCAAGGCGAGGAUUAAAGAGCUGACACUUUGUUUGAGAGAUGCAGUCCCAGUGCAAUGAGACAGAAGUGGGAAGUGGAAAGAUAAAAAUGACCAUGAUGUAGUGCGUACCUUGCUGGAUGUGGCUUCAUGCGAGCUACAGAGAGACACAGCAGAUCUGGUGCAUGGACUUCUCCAGAAGUUACGCAAGGAGAAAACACAUCUCUGAGCAGUCUGCAGAGGGAAGAUUGGAGGGGGAAUUUAUAUGUCCCUUUUGCUUCCAUCACCCAUUUCCCUCUGUGGCAUUUCAUGAAAGUCCAGAAGUGGAGGGACAUUUGGGCAAGGAUGAGGCACCGACCGAGAGAGACAGAAAAGGAGGCGGUCGAGGGAAUCUGAGAAGGCGCACAAGGUUUGUGUCCAAUACGCUCCACACCUUGCGCUACUCAGGUCUGCUCGUGCCCUCCCAUGGUAUCAGCUCUCCUGCGAUGUGGGGACCUCCAUCCAUUCUCCAGAGAGAACGAAGACGUCUUUCCCCUUUCCCUGGGAGGGGAGGUGCGACUCCACUCAGUGACAGAGUCCCCUUCCUGAUGGCCAGCUGGAGUCGCCUGGAAGACUGAAGCAAGAAGGUUGUGAAACAAGCUCAUUCACUGCUCCUGUGGCUGGUCCUGAUGCUGUAAUUGAUAUCCAUUAUCUUCCUCCUCCACCAUACGUUCUAGAUCCCUUUCACUCUCUGCCAGCACUUUGGCUGGUCUGUGAUGUUUGUCCUGAGGGGUCUGAGUUCCUUGUUGCCUUGCCCAUUAAUAGCCUUUACCAGAAGUGGAAGUAUUAAGAGAUUCCCCAGGGAAUCCCCUGAGCUCUGUUCCAGACAUUCUUCUCCUAUCUCCACGUGUGCCACAAACCUAACUCCUCAUGGCAAUUAGCAUCAGUGACUCCAGCAGUAUAGUGACUCCCUUCUUGGUCUGUUGGUCACUGGCAUGAGGAGCCGAAGGUGGCCGGCGGGUAGCAUCAGCUUCUAGUUUAGUAGAAGCCUUUUGUGUUGUACCCCAGUACUCUGGAACUGGAACUUCUAACCCAGCUGAGCCCAAGUGUACGGGGAUAGGAAGCACAAACUCUGCAAGGGGUUACUAUGUGACGGUGAGCAGGGCCACUCCUGGACCCAUCUGCUGUGGUUAUGUAGGACGUGGCACCAGAUAUCAGUUGUCAGUUCAAGGCAUAUACUGCAUCCUGGAGGACAGAAGCUCAAGCCCAUAGUCUCCCCAGAGGGCACCUCAGCUGAGCCUUCAACAGGCCAUUCUGUUGUUCUGUCAGGUUGGCUGCUCCUGAGCGAUGGCAGGGUUCAUGAUGAGAGCAGUGAAUUCCAUGGUCAGGGGUCAUUGAUGCACCUUCUUGGCCGAAAUGGGUGAUUUGGUCUGAGACCGUGUUAUAUAGGAAUCCAGGCCAGCAGAUGAGGAGUCGAUAACUGGAACAUAGUGCUGCUGGCAACUCUGUUACCAGAAAAUGUGAUUUCAGUAAGGGCAAAUUGCUUACCCCCACCAAGGUGGAAGGGGUCUAAUCUAGUUGGUGGCCCUCUAGUUCUUCCCAAGGAGUGGGCCAUGCCCUGUAGGUUCAGUGGUGGUCUCUCCUGCUGGCAGGUUGGGUACUCAGUGGGGCAGCAAGAUGAGCCUUGGUGAUGCGGAGGCAAAAAGGGAAAGAAGGGCAACGGAAGGCUGCCAAGUGAUGGUGCUUUUACUGUCCAGCCACCGCUUCACAGCAAACUGCAAGGGUCACAGAGACCACUCGUGUUCUCUGGGCUCAUGGACUUCUCCAGAAGGUUUGCAGGGAUAAACCAUACCUUGGAGACAUCCAGGAGAGAGUAAGUAAGAGAUAUUUACCUGCCUGCUUCCCAUCCAUUUCCCACUUCCCACUGCUCAUUAUUCAACCUGUGAGGCGCUAACCCUUCCACACUAGUGAGUUGCAAAGACCCAGCCUCUUGGUGGCCACUCACGAAUCCAGAUCCUGUACUCUGAGAUUCAGCUCUUCUUCCAAGUCCAGAAAUGGAGGGGUGACUCAGGCCAAAUGGGGCACCAAGAGAAGGAAUGGAGGAGGUGGUGAGGGGACUCUGAGCUGGUGUACAAGGUUUGUACCCAAUACAGGUGGGUUAGUCACUAGCCAUAGUGCUACAUUAACUAUUACAGCUCACUUAGUGCUUCGGAAGUGCUACGUUAACUAUUACAGGCUUCCAAGUUGUUAUGGCAGAUGUCACAUUCUCAUUUCUGGCAAGGAUGUCGGCCCUCAGUACUACCGAGUAUUGUUUGGUUGGGAGUUGGUGUGAUUCACUUAGAAGGAUGUUAGUUAUAUAAGGUAACCUUGCUUGCGGUUAAGUUUUACUGCAGGUGUUUCAUAUUUUGUCUCUACUUGUCCUAAAUAUGUAAAAUAUCCACCAAAUGUGAAGUAAUGCCUCAAAACGUGUCUCCUUAAAAAAAUGGCAGAAGAUGUAUGAUCAUGUAUGCUGAUAUGAGCUCUGAUAUAACUGGGAGGCCCUAGGACAUGGACUGGUUUGACUUGAGGUAAUGAAGCCACUGAAGCUGCCCAGGGCUCCAUGAGAAUAGGUUUUGGAUUGCUGCCCUCCUCCAAAGGCCCCUGGCGAGGAGGAGGAGUUGCCACUGCAGCUUGUAGGACCCAAGUCCAGAGUGCAGUGAAUGGGGCCUUAACUUUUCCACUGUCUGGGCUGUUGGGUGGCCCUGGAAGGUUGAUUCUUAGAGAGAGGCCUACUGCAGCCAGAGCUCUCAAUAGGGAGACACAAAACCUUUAUAUACAACAUGGGUAGGUGCACCCCUCCCAAAAAACCACCUGAAUUUUAGGAUAUGUCCCUAAAUUGUGGGCCCUUUCAGGACUGACUCUGAAGACAUUGAAAUUUUUAAAAACUGACUAAAUAGGACAAAAAUUAUCACUUUGGCCACUGGUGGAGAAUGGAUUGGCCACAAAUAUCUAAAUGAAAAAAGAGCAGAGCUAAAUUCCAAGAUAAGCAAAUGCAUUGGACCUUGAUAAUUUUAAGGGGCUUUCAAUCUCCAACUUCACAUAUGCCACGAUAUAAUUUCUUCCAAAUAACACAGAAAAGUAAAACAGAAAAAUUAAUCUCCUCAAGUCUUUUAAUGAAAAGUAACUUUAGUUACAAUGAGUUAAGCUUAAAUUUAGAUUUGGGUCCUGGGUGACUGGUAAAGCUUAUCUGCUAUAUUUUCAUUUCCUGAAAUUCUCUUGUUACUUUUCAUAUCCACCUGUUCUUGUUUCAUUUUUAGCUACUUUUGUUUCACAAAUUAUUCUUCCUUUUAUUGAUGUUAUUCCUUCAUCUUUGAGAAUCCUAAAUCAAUUUAUUUUCAUUUUUUUCAUGUUUCUCUGAUAGUUCCGUUUUGUCUGAAGUGAUUCAUCUUCUGAGUGUUAACUUUGUUGGCUUCUUUAUUAGCAUUGAUUUUCUUCAUAGGUUUUGAAUUUUGUUUUUCAGAGGUUCUGCCUCCCUCCCCGAGCCUUACCUACCACUCUACUCUUCUUGAUCUGGUGAUUUUUAAAGUGUCUCCCCCUUGACCGCUGGAGAGCUUGGUCCAGAACCAGGCUUUAUGAUGGGGGCUUAGGGCUUCUGUCUUUCAGUGACAUUGGGAAUAUCUCCAACCCAGUCACUGAGCCUGAGGGCAAGUGAGUUCAUGUUUUGGCCACAAGGCUUCAUAUCAGCUAUGAGCAUGGGCAGAAUGUGAUGGUAGCAUUAUUUUUAAAAAAAAAUUUUUAAAUAACUUAGACUUACAGAGAAGUUGCAAAAAUAGUACAGAGAGUUCCCAUAUACUCUUCACCUAACUUCCCCUAAUGUUAACAUCUUACCUCACCAAAGUAGAAUCUUUAGGACCAGGAAAUUAACAUUGUUAUAAUACUAUAAACGAAACCUCAGGCUUUAUUCAUAUUUCACAAGUUUUUCCACUGAUGUCUUUUUUUCCAUUUUAUGAUCCUGUCCAAGAUCCCACAUUGCAUUUAGUGAUUUUCUGUUUCCAUAAUUUUAUCUACUUUUAUUAAGGAAGAUCUCUCUCUUCCCCAUUUAUUUAUCCCUUCAGUUAUUUACUUGUAUCAGUAUGGACUCGUGGGUAUUUAUUUUAGUUGAUGGAUUGUAAUCCAGUACUUCCAGCCAGCCCUGAUUUCACAUAGUCACCUGGUUUCCAUCUCCCCGUCUUGUACAGGGUACUUCUGUUUCCUGUUUUCCGUAGGAACUUCUGGAACUCCUGGCUACCUCUUCUUUCCUGACAUUAGGCCCAGAAGCCCACUAUUUUUAAUUUUGGGAUAAAAGUCUAAAUGCUUAACACAACCUACAAGGUACUACAUUUGAUCCCUGCCUUAUUUUCUAGCUUCAUUUUUCUCUUGUCAACUCUCUUGUUCUCAGUGAUCCAGCCACACGGAACCUUUUCCUGUCUUUGAAAGCUGUAAACUUCUCCUCGCCUCAUAGUCUUUGCCACUUUUCCCUCUGCCUAGAACACUGUCACCCCAUUCUUCUUUUUUGAACUAAACCAUAGUGUCUUUUUGGUUUGUUACUAUGCUAUUUAACAGCUGAACAAUCUCUAGCCUAAAAGUCUUUAAAUCUAAAACGGCAAGUUUCCAACAGGUACGCCCAGCUUUGCCAGGUUUGUAAAUCAGAAUGCGUUUCCUUCAAGUGAAAGAUAUCAGCACUAAGAGCUGGAGGUUUUUUCAGGUGUAGACUGAGUCAUCUUCUCUAAGGGAUGUAACCAAAGCAUGAGGGAAUCAGAAAAGGCAGCAACUGUCCAGAUGAAAGGUGAAUGUCUUAUUGAGUGUCAAGUCAUUUGACUUUAAGAACUGGUAGAAGAAUCAAGAAAAUAACAAACAAUAAACAGUCGGGGGAAAUAAUGAACAUUCAAGGGCAGCAGAAUUGCCAAAUGAGCUCCUGCCUCUUGCAGUGUUACAUGCUGACCAAUUCCUCUUCUUUUCCCAGCACCCCCUGUGAAAAGAGACUUGGUCUGUCAUGUGGGGUUCUGAAUUUCCUUUGAGUAUCUAACGGAGUGAGUUAAGUAGAUCCAGUCAUGAUGGUUGGAUCUCAGUUUUCAGUCACUGGUCACAGUUGGAAGUGGCCCACAUUUUAGUCACCUCUGCUUCCCCUUGCUUUGGUACCAUUAGCUCCAUAAUCUGGUAACCAACAAAGGGGCAGUCCCUUGACAUGAGGUUGCGCUGUGUUAGCCCAGCCAUUGCCUUCGUCUCAUUGGUUGUAGGGCCAGAGCAGAAUGGUGACAUCCUUGCUCUGCAGAUCUUGGUACCCGGGUCACUCCUGCAGGGGCUGCCUCCAAAUCCACCCCCUGGGGUCCUGGGUCUCUAAUUUCAGUUUUAGUGUAAGGUUCCCACCCUGCUCCAACUCUGUGGUUCUGAGACUUAGUGGAAAGAGCCUGGGAUGGGGUUAAUGGGCCGUGCUGCCUAUCAGGACCCUGGGCAGUCACCUUCUCCAUUUCCUGGUGUCUGCGAGGGUUCAGACCAUAGCGAGCAGCCCUACAUAUGGCACUGAUGCAGACCCUCCUCCUUCUGCCAGUCUCUCUACUGAGUCCCUCUCAACCAAACAUCUACCAGUCAAUCCCAAUAGGCAUUAUCUGCCAGCUCUGACUCCAGGGCCUCUCCCAGCUCUAAGGGUCUGAGAUUCUCAGGAUUUGCCUUGAGGCUUUCUUCAGUCUAGAGCUAUUGAGUUUGGGAGCCUCACCCCAUACCUUCUCUUACAUCCUACAGAAAUCAGGAUGAAAUGGCCCACACCUGCCGUGGCACCAUCAACCUGUGCACCGCGCACUUUGACAAGGAGGACUCUUGCGGUAUCAUGCUGACCAAUGGGGCAAGGACCUACCACCUCAAGGCCAGCUCAGAGGUGGAGCGGCAGCACUGGAUCACCACUCUGGAGCUGGCCAAGGCCAAGGCUGUUCACCUGAUGAGCAGCCACUCAGUCUGGUUCCUAGACUUCAGCAGACCCUUCAGAUGCUGUCGUGGGUCAGCUCCCGGAGCAGCAGUCAGACGUGGGAGUCCAGGAGCGUGCACCUGUGCUUGGGGCCAGACUUUUUCCCAGGCCCUUUAUGGAGAUUGAAAACCAUUUAGCCAGAGCUGCUGCUUUUGCCGAGGUGGAAGGCCCCCUCAGAUGUCCUGAGCAAGAUGUUUUAUUUUUUACUUUAAUACAUUUAUUUUUUAAUAUAUUAUAUCUUUAUAUGAUUUAUACAAUUUCAAAAGCAUAUAUGGUGAAGUCUGCCCUUGACUCUUGUCCUCAGCCACACACCCUGUUCUCCCACCCAGAGGCAACCAGAGCUACCAGUGUCUUGUGUCAUUACAUGUAUAUUCAGAUAGGUACUUAUUUUAAAAUAAGCACUAUCCUCUGCCUUGCUUUUUUUCAAUUUAGAGAUUUAUCUUGGAAUUUUUUCCCUACCAGUACAUAAAAAAACUUCCUCCUUGUUUUUAUAACAGUACAGUACUUCAUUGUGUGGUUGUACUGUAGUUUAUUUAACCUAUAGCCUGUUGGUGAAGAUUUAGGUUGUUUCUUUAUUUUGCUAUGAUGCACUGUGUUCAGUGAGUAACCUUGCAUUUCAUUUCACGUGUGUAUAAGUAUAAACAAAGUGUACGUUCCAGGAAGAGGGGUUGUGGCUCAAUGGGAGUGUGCAUUUGUAAUUCUGAGAGCUUGUCAAGCUGCCUUCCAUAGGGGUUUACCAUUAGAUGCCUACAGCAGUGUGUGAGAAUGCCUGCCUCUCCACAGCCUUGCCCACCCAGAGCAAUAGCAAAUGUUUCUGAUGGGUAAAAACUGGGUCCACACACACAGCAGCGGGGGGUCGAGGGGAGAUUGGGAAACUGAUCCUUCAUAAAUUGUAGGGAAAAUGGUGUAUGUUUCCACAGGUCUGUGUAUUUUUUUAGGAAGGCAGGGCUCCAGGUGAGAAUAAGUCACAGCCCCUGCUCUCCAGGAUUAUCUCAUAGGCUGGUUGGGGAGACGGUGAGACCUUUGGAAGUAGCUCUAGCACAAAGUAGAAUGAGAGAUGCUAGUGACAUUUGUCACCAUGCCCCAUCUCCCCAUGUUGGGGACUCUCCCUCAGUACUAGCUUGUUAACGCACAUUGAAGGCCAUUGAAUAUUAGUCUGACCUUCUUUUUAGAGGUCUCACCCCUUUGGAGCAUAGGUCCUCCCCAUAGUGACUCUUUUCCUUGGGGUCAGCACUCCUGGGGCUCUGGUGUGUCAGCAGUGAUGCUGAGCUUGGCAAGGGGUCCUCAGGGUACCACUCCAUUUCCCGUGAAGGAGGGUGUUGGGGCCAUCUCAGACAAGGGCCGUGCUGAGACCUCCAGCAGGACCUCUGAUCUCAAUUUGGAUGCCUGUAGAAAGCCAAUGUGGUGAAUGAUGUGGCUGGUGGUGUGGCUGGGCUCAGAACAACCCUGUUGGCCAAGUGUGGGAAC
Long non-coding RNA from Equus caballus (horse), 12960 nucleotides. The record is from Ensembl. NCBI's taxonomy places the organism in Eukaryota, Metazoa, Chordata, Mammalia, Perissodactyla, Equidae.